Molecule: ribosomal RNA, 474 nt
Filed under: uncultured bacterium
Lineage: Bacteria
Description: bacterial SSU rRNA
Rfam family: Bacterial small subunit ribosomal RNA
Source: RNAcentral
GGUGAACGCUGGCGGCGUGCCUAACACAUGCAAGUCGAGCGGUGCAGUUUGAAGCUUCGGUGGAAAGCUGCAUAGCGGCGGACGGGUGAGGAAAACGUAGGAACGUGCCCCUUGGAGUUGGAUAGCCACGGGAAACUGUGGGUAAACCGACAUAGACUCGAGAGAGUAAAGGCCGAAAGGCGCCAAGGGAGCGGCCUGCGGCCCAUCAGGUAGUUGGUAGUGUAAAGGACUACCAAGCCGACGACGGGUAGCCGGUCUGAGAGGAUGAUCAGCCACACUGGAACUGAGACACGGUCCAGACUCCUACGGGAGGCAGCAGUGAGGAAUAUUGGUCAAUGGGCGCAAGCCUGAACCAGCCAUCCCGCGUGCAGGAAGACGGCCCUAUGGGUUGUAAACUGCUUUUCCAGGGGGAGAAACUUUCCGAUGCAUCGGGAUUUGACGGUACCCUGGGAAUAAGCAUCGGCUAACUCCGUG